UACGUAGGGUGCGAGCGUUGUCCGGAAUUAUUGGGCGUAAAGAGCGUGUAGGCGGUUGGGUAGGUCCGUUGUGAAAACUCGAGGCUCAACCUCGAGACGCCGAUGGAAACCCCCCAGCUAGAGUCCGGAAGAGGAGAGUGGAAUUCCUGGUGUAGCGGUGAAAUGCGCAGAUAUCAGGAGGAACACCGGUGGCGAAGGCGGUUCUCUGGGCAUGAUCUGACGCUGAGGAGCGAAAGUGUGGGGAGCGAACAGG
Molecule: ribosomal RNA, 253 nt
Filed under: uncultured bacterium
Lineage: Bacteria
Description: partial 16S ribosomal RNA
Rfam family: Bacterial small subunit ribosomal RNA
Source: RNAcentral